Molecule: unclassified non-coding RNA, 562 nt
Filed under: Hevea brasiliensis (rubber tree)
Lineage: Eukaryota; Viridiplantae; Streptophyta; Magnoliopsida; Malpighiales; Euphorbiaceae
Source: RNAcentral
AAAAUGAAAUUGCAAUUAGAAUCCUGAAAUAGGAACUUUUCAAAUUGAGGGAAUUCUAUAUCUGAGACUGAAGAACUAACUUACAAUUCGAAACAUUCAUAAUCCUUACUUUUUCACAUACUUAUCCAAAAAGCUACCUGCAGUUGCAUCUGCAAAACAAAAUACACUUUGCUUAAACAAGAACAGACAUGGAAACUUCCAAUUUCAUAUGUUUUGCUUUCUAAAUUAAAUGGUAAACAAAUCAAUGGCUGGAACGGAAUCACUCGUACGGUUAGGGACGAGGAAGAGACGCGAGAAGAAGAGAGAUAUGGAGACCAAUCGCCUGCUGCUCUUCCAUUUUGGGGUGGACAAUGCGCACGUCAAUCCAACUAAUUUCUUCCUUGGUUUUGCGAAGAGAGGGCGAUUAAGACAAGGGAAAGCUGAAUGAUUUAAAGGACUAGAGCUAACGCGCGCAGUGGCGUAGGUUAUUGCCAUGGCUGCCGCUAGUCGCCAAAGCAUAUGUUCCAACAGAGGAGUCGUCUCCGGAAGGAGAAAAUGGAACAGAGAAAAGGAAGGAACGCCU